AUUGAACGCUGGCGGCAGGCCUAACACAUGCAAGUCGGACGGUGGCACAGAGGAGCUUGCUCCUUGGGUGACGAGUGGCGGACGGGUGAGUAAUGUCUGGGGAUCUGCCCGAUAGAGGGGGAUAACCACUGGAAACGGUGGCUAAUACCGCAUAACGUCGCAAGACCAAAGAGGGGGACCUUCGGGCCUCUCACUAUCGGAUGAACCCAGAUGGGAUUAGCUAGUAGGCGGGGUAAUGGCCCACCUAGGCGACGAUCCCUAGCUGGUCUGAGAGGAUGACCAGCCACACUGGAACUGGGACACGGUCCAGACUCCUACGGGAGGCAGCAGUGGGGAAUAUUGCACAAUGGGCGCAAGCCUGAUGCAGCCAUGCCGCGUGUAUGAAGAAGGCCUUCGGGUUGUAAAGUACUUUCAGCGGGGAGGAAGGCGGUGAGGUUAAUAACCUCGCCGAUUGACGUUACCCGCAGAAGAAGCACCGGCUAACUCCGUGCCAGCAGCCGCCGUAA
This 506-nucleotide ribosomal RNA is filed under the name uncultured bacterium. RNAcentral describes it as "partial 16S ribosomal RNA". It matches the Rfam family "Bacterial small subunit ribosomal RNA", at positions 29 to 523 of the family's 1533-position model. The record is from RNAcentral.